GGGCCGGUAGCUUAGCUUGGUAGAGCGCUUGACUUUUAAUCAAGCGGUCGAGGGUUCAAAUGAGCGAUGUGUAGAUUAUCAUAAUCCAGUCACUCGCUCUGAUCGUCCCUUCCGGCCCG
RNAcentral lists this transfer RNA (119 nucleotides) under Nanobdellota archaeon. RNAcentral's name for it is "tRNA-Lys". It matches the Rfam family "tRNA". Rfam says of the family: Transfer RNA (tRNA) molecules are approximately 80 nucleotides in length. Their secondary structure includes four short double-helical elements and three loops (D, anti-codon, and T loops). Lineage: Archaea; Nanobdellati; Nanobdellota. The record is from RNAcentral.